AAAGAAAAAGAGUGGCGAACGGGUGAGUAACACGUGGGUAACCUGCCCAUCAGAAGGGGAUAACACUUGGAAACAGGUGCUAAUACCGUAUAACACUAUUUUCCGCAUGGAAGAAAGUUGAAAGGCGCUUUUGCGUCACUGAUGGAUGGACCCGCGGUGCAUUAGCUAGUUGGUGAGGUAACGGCUCACCAAGGCAACGAUGCAUAGCCGACCUGAGAGGGUGAUCGGCCACACUGGGACUGAGACACGGCCCAGACUCCUACGGGAGGCAGCAGUAGGGAAUCUUCGGCAAUGGACGAAAGUCUGACCGAGCAACGCCGCGUGAGUGAAGAAGGUUUUCGGAUCGUAAAACUCUGUUGUUAGAGAAGAACAAGGAUGAGAGUAAAAUGUUCAUCCCUUGACGGUAUCUAACCAGAAAGCCACGGCUAACUACGUGCCAGCAGCCGCGGUAAUACGUAGGUGGCAAGCGUUGUCCGGAUUUAUUGGGCGUAAAGCGAGC
This 499-nucleotide ribosomal RNA is filed under the name uncultured bacterium. RNAcentral's name for it is "bacterial SSU rRNA". It matches the Rfam family "Bacterial small subunit ribosomal RNA", at positions 84 to 570 of the family's 1533-position model. The record is from RNAcentral.